Molecule: ribosomal RNA, 253 nt
Filed under: uncultured bacterium
Lineage: Bacteria
Description: partial 16S ribosomal RNA
Rfam family: Bacterial small subunit ribosomal RNA
Source: RNAcentral
UACAGAGGGGGCAAGCGUUGUUCGGAAUUACUGGGCGUAAAGCGCACGUAGGCGGAUAUUUAAGUCAGGGGUGAAAUCCCAGAGCUCAACUCUGGAACUGCCUUUGAUACUGGGUAUCUCGAGUCCGAGAGAGGUGAGUGGAAUUCCGAGUGUAGAGGUGAAAUUCGUAGAUAUUCGGAGGAACACCAGUGGCGAAGGCGGCUCACUGGCUCGGUACUGACGCUGAGGUGCGAAAGCGUGGGGAGCAAACAGG